Lolium rigidum is the source of this 1282-nucleotide RNA transcript. It is a transcript of the gene named protein argonaute 1D-like, with no coding region annotated. The record is from RefSeq and is a predicted model, not a curated record. The transcript is spliced from 9 exons. Lineage: Eukaryota; Viridiplantae; Streptophyta; Magnoliopsida; Poales; Poaceae.
AGCCUACCAACGUGCAUUUUGUAGCAGCUGGAAAGCUCAAGGUCGCAUUGCUUUCAUUGAAAAUUCUCCAUGCUUGAAAUAUUCACUUCAGGUGAAACUUGGUAACUAUUUGGCUUCAAGAAUACCAGGCAUGGGAAACUUAUCAAAUGGCCUCUUUUUCGUCUCCGCGCUUUAGGGAUGGUGUCAGUGAAGGCCAGGUCUACCAAGUUCUACUUACCGAGCUCGACGCCAUCCGAAAGGCUUGCGCGUCGCUACCAAAGCGCCACCACACCAUGUUGUUCGUGCACAACCCCAACGACCAGAACACGAUCAACUGCAGCGGCAACAUCCUUCCAGAUGGGAGCGGUGGCCUUAUCGAGCACAUCUUGCAGCAGCAGCAGCGCUAGGAGGUGUAGCAGGUUGAGAUCGGCAUCCGCCCAUCCACGGAUCAUCUGGGUACAGAGCAGGCAUCUGUAAAUAUAAAGGAGUUGAAGGCAACAAUUGGCAUGGCAUUACACUAUACUUAAUCUAUUUGCAAUGAAGUUUGAGCACUGGAACCAUGUGGUUCAGGAUGCGCUUCAGCGUGCUACUCUUGAGAGCAAAUCCCAAGUGGGCUCAAUUUUUCAAGUUCUUAACACAAAAGAACCUCCUUCCAGACAAACAAAUUUACUUAGGCCUUCCAUGACAUUGUUAUGCAUAUGGGAGUUACAUGCUCAGAUCUGUGUGGUGACCUUUGGUCCAAGAUUGCUGCAUCCGAUAGCAUCUUCCUUGAGGGAACCUUUGGUCCAAGAUUGCUGCAUCCGAUAGCAUCUUUGUAGUUGCUAGGACAGUUGUAUGAUGCGGUGGCUGUGUAACUCGGCCUCGGCUACAACAUCUCCGGCGAGCUCCUGGUUCACACUUUGAUCAAAGGCUCAUUCAUGUUCCAGGAUAACAGGGGGCCAGAUGACGGAGUAGCAGCUGGGACCUGCAGCCUGAUGUGCCUUGGAUGGAAAGUGGAAGACCCGGGGCUAGAAGGAGACAAGUCAUCAUUUAGCGCCUUGUUUGUCAGGCCAUCUCUAUGCAACAGCGCUAGCUUUAUUUCUGUCGCCUUAGUCAACUGUGCGGUAUAUAUGGUUGCAUCGGAUGAGCAGCUGAGGUUUCAAGUCGGAAAAUGAUUGUGGUGUAUGUAAUAAUCCCAGCUUUUGUUGAUGUUUGCUGUUGGGUAUCUUGGUAUAUCUGUUUGAUUAGACAUCUUGUUGAGAUUUAGUGUCGUAUGAUUGUGUGCUAUGUGCACUUAGUAUAGUUUUGAAGAAUAUAUAUUCUU